GGGCCAGUAGCUCAGUUGGUUAGAGCACGCGCUUGAUAAGCGCGGGGUCGAAAGUUCAAGUCUUUCCUGGCCCA
This 74-nucleotide transfer RNA is filed under the name Kofleriaceae bacterium. Its description in RNAcentral is "tRNA-Ile". It matches the Rfam family "tRNA". Rfam says of the family: Transfer RNA (tRNA) molecules are approximately 80 nucleotides in length. Their secondary structure includes four short double-helical elements and three loops (D, anti-codon, and T loops). Lineage: Bacteria; Pseudomonadati; Myxococcota; Haliangiales; Kofleriaceae. The record is from RNAcentral.